GCACAGCAGGCCAAGCAGCAUCAGAGGAGCAGGAAGGCUGACGUUUCGGGUCUAGACCAUGUGAUAAAGAUCUUGAAAACUGCCAGCUACAGAACAUGAAGUCUGGUUUCCUGGUACAGUCUGUGCUUCACGAUUCCAACUCCCAAUUCCACAACAAUUACAAAGGAGCUGAAAAUGCCUCACAAGCUGGAGUCAACUAGGAUGGCAGGAGCUCUUUUCCCGCAGGUUCAACUCAGCCUCUGUGAAGGCAGCUGGUCCCCAAUUAGUGAUUAGCUGACGGCCCUUUGGACCUACAAGAAUUAAAAAAACAAACAAUGAAAAGGAGCAAUUCAAUAUGCACCGAAUACGAAUAAUAUCUUAAAUUAAAUAAUGAACUAAAAACUACACUGUGCAUGUUUGAGGCCAAGGAUAAUG
Molecule: long non-coding RNA, 414 nt
Organism: Rhincodon typus (whale shark)
Lineage: Eukaryota; Metazoa; Chordata; Chondrichthyes; Orectolobiformes; Rhincodontidae
Exons: 3
Source: RefSeq, a predicted model, not a curated record